CUAUACAGUAAGGCAAUACAAUUCAAUUUCAUGCCUGGGAUGACAUCAUGAUAUGUAAUUUUUGUUAGAAAAUUGAAAAGUCAAAAAUUUAUAAAAAUGAACCUUAUUAUCUGGAGGGAAUAAUUUGUCAACUAAACGUCAUAAAUGUGUGUAUUUUGGCUGUGCCAUGUCUAACUACAUUUUCAAGAUUAACUUAUAUAAUAUGUUAUAUGCAUAAACUAUUAGAUUAGAUACAAAUGUAUUUAUCCUUUUGGGAAGGUUCCUUCAAGGGAACUAAAAUAACCCUAACCUAACCCUAACCAUAUUUUAUCAAAGAGUAUGAUCUUUUCCCCUAAAUAGUUUCAGAGCUUUGCAUACGAGUUGUUUCCAACCUGCAGUGUGGGGACUUUGCCUCCCCCUACUGGCAGUGGUAAUAAUUACAACGUCAAUGCCUGCUCAGACAUCCCCUUUUCUUCACGUUUAAGUGUUCACUGUUUAGGGAAGCUAGAUUAAUAGUCUGUUUCUACUUCUUUUAGCUGUAAUUCUCUGGUAAUCGAGUAUGGAUGGUAUAGUUUUGGAUUGUAGGUUUUAUCUUAUUACUUAAAAUACUGGGUUAAAAAAUAAGAAAGACUCAUUAAUGUAAAGAAAUUCAAAGCUGUCACUGAUGGACUCUUUUGAAGCAACAUUUAACAAUGGCCACCUUUGUAGAAGUCCUCAUACAAAGUCCAUCUUCAGGUCAUGAACUUCACUGUAAACAUUUCUACUCUUUAUGGUUUGAGAGUACUUCUGGUAUCUCUGCCUCUGAUUUGAUUAUCGCCAUUUUUGAAUGUUGUUGCAAAAAAAUGCACCAAGUAAAAGAACCUGGUUUUGCUUUCUUAAGAGACAAAACAAAGCUUUAGAAGAAACACCAAUAUUGUCGAUAGGAAUUGGCAAAAACUGUUUGAAUUAUACGGCAAAUCUGUCUGUUUUUCAGAGUUAAGCUCGCUGUUCUGUGCAAAUCCUCAUCCCCCUUGAUGACACCUUCAGUGUUUCAGCCGAAAAUGCAGAGCACAGCUUGUUUGUUUCUUUGUGAAGAGUUGUUAAAUCUCAUUAAUAUUCAUAAACCAGUCAGAAGUAUUGCACAGUCUAAUUACUUGGCAUUUAUUCAGAUGCAGGUUUUUCGUCAUCUACAUAAUGCAGCUGAAGAGACGAGAGGUACAUGUUGCAGGAUCUGGGAUAUAAAUCAGGUCUCUCACAUGGUGAAACUUCAAGUAAUCCUGCAGGAGCUGGCUGGGGCUCAAGUGAAACUAAUUUGAAAGCAUUAUCGGUCAAGUCAAGUCAAGCAUUUUUACCAUUUUAGCAAGUCUGAUGAAAUCCAAAAAGGAUGCUAAAAUGGAGCCAUGUCCAUGAGCACAUCUAAGAGGAUAAUUGCAAAAGUUGUUGAACCACUCGAGAGAAAACAGAUUGGGCCAAAACAGUAAAAUAAAGUUUCAAAUGAAUCGCAAUGACACUGCCUGAAGAGAAAGGCAGCAACUGACAUUUCGGUCAUUUAACACUCUUAUUUACACCAUAUAAAAAAUAAGGUAAAUGUAUGCAGCUUGUUUUUGUCGUGGUUUUGUUCUCUUUACACCCCCUGUCGAAAACGAUGCUGCUUCAUUGGGGGAACUACAAAAUCCCUGUCAGUAAUCUGGAGACCAGGGCUCACAAUUUGACAAUCAGUCAGGUCUAAUAAGGGUUCAGUCAUGCACUGAGUGACAGCUCCAGGGCUCCAGGGCUGUCACUGUGGAUUUUGAAAUCAUGUGUCCAGAGCUGGCCCAAGCCUCAAUGGGGCCCUAAGCUUAAUUUGAUUUUGGGGCCUUCUAUUUCUGCCAAUAAUAUUGAUUUUUGAUCAUUCACACACAUACUACAGUAUAAAUUCAAUGUGCCUGACGUGCCUGGGUAAUAACAUAAAUAAUACCAAUGCAACCAUACAAAUAAUACCAAUGAAUGACUGAUUAUUUAUUUUAUUUUUUAAAAUAAUAUAUAUUUGAUCAUACAGAAAACAUCACUUGUACAUGCAAAAAAUAAAAAAUAUAAAAAUUUAUUAUUUUUUUUGAUUGCUCUUGGGGGCCCCCUACUGGCUAUGGGGCCCUAAGCAGAGGCUUAGUUCACUUAUGCCUUGGGACGGCUCUGAGUGUGUCCCUUGGAUCUUGAUCAAUCCAUACAGCAAGAUAUCAGAUGAUGGUAACUGAAGGCUGAUGUGGUUUUGACGACACUGACUAACUCAACUCUGCAGUUCAUCCAGGGUGAGUGGAUGAAUUUCUUCUAAAAUGCAAAUAAUCUCUAAUUAAGAGCUGACGACUAUAUUAGGCACUGUUAACAGUUACAUGGUGGUAGGAGAGUGAGAGUACAAACCGUUUCCCCACAGGCAUCUGACUCAUUAUCAUAUACAGUGCUAGAGCUCGCAGUACCAGUGCUUUAAAGGCUUGUUCUUAAAGGAUACUCAUCGUGGAGGUUGCCCUGGUUUCUAAAUUCUCAUUAAGGUGUCAGGAGAAAUUAAAAAAACAUUAGACACACACAGUCCCAUGAUAAAUCACAUAGCUCGCAUAAUCCAUUACAGCAAAAAAUCCUCUUUGAAUGCAGCUAUUUGAAACGGAAGUAUUCCUAGUUCUGUACCGUAUCAACCACUAUAGUUAUAUGCUGAUUAAGAGAUGUAAGAUUAGCUUAAGCACGCUAUCAUUUGCUUAUUUACUAUCCUAGUAUCCCUCAGGCAAGGCUAGUGUUGCUGUUUUAGAGGAUCAGCUUUGAGGCUUUUGGUACAAUUCGAUUGAGUUUUUCCAAAACUUCAGAAAAAUAACUCUUUUAUGACCUCAGGUGUAGAGUAAUAGUCAGUAAGUUAGCGUUAACCUGCUAAAUCUUAGUGAGAAUGAUCAACAUGGUGGAUAUGAUACAAAACUGAACAGUUACCUGAUCAGAAUCUUACAGACUAUCUACAUUUUUCUCCCUUCCAGUCUUACCUGCUGCCAAUAGAGGUAAUUUUCUCUUGAGCUUAUGCCGUCAAGAUGGUAGCCUUUUUUUUAAAAGAGGAAGGUCGCCAUGGUAACCAAUGCUGCUCCUGGCUUGAUGAGCAGCAGAGGCUAAACAGCUUAGCUAAUCAUAUCCUGAAAAGAAAGAGCCAGAGGUACAGAGUAAACAGUGAAUUACAGUGAAACGUAUGGAGGCCCUUAAAAGGAUUUACUGUAUGUCUACCACGUAAAGAAACAUCCAACAAGAAAUGGAAUUAAAGCGAAGCAGUAAGAGGUAUGAAGGAUGUGCUCCAAUCAGGGCAAAGGAGGCUUCUCCUGGGCAAGUAGAACAAAAAUGGUUGGAACCACUUCCCGAAGUAGCCUACUCUACACAGGGCCACAUGAGUCUGUUUCCUGAAACCAUAGACUGUAUAUAGAAUGGACGCCGUCUGCCUCCUCGCUGGGUGAAGCCACUCCGAGAACAGCACCCUCUUUUUUCUGUACAGCUCCAUUUUUAAAAGUAAUUAAAAGUAAUGUUUUCUAUGAUUGACACUUGAUACAGCCUAUGGGCGUAUGAAGAUUGAGUUAUUACCGAGGGCUUUUCAGCUUCAAAUCCGUAUACUGGUGGAAGGCAGAACCAAGUUGUCCAUAGUUCAUACAGUCGAUUGUUGAAACAGAAAUAAAUGACUAGAGAGUGAAUUAUUAUGUCAGGAGACGUUUCUUUAUGCUUAUGGGUUUUAAUUAACUACUUGACCUACUCCACUUUGUUAGAAAAUCAUCUUGUCCCCGUUUUUUGUUGGAGCUGCUGCGAUGCAACUCACCUGUCUCUCUCCAACCCCUGGCUGUUCAUCAAACACAGUCCCUCAGUGUGAAUCAGGGUCCUGGUCCAGUGAGCACAUUUCAUAUUCUGCCCCACGCCACAUCCAUCAGUCCUGGAGGAGUUGUCAUCGCACCAAGUCAUCAUUCAUACUGGUUUCAUUUUUAUUUUGCCUUUUUGGACAUGGACAUAUAUUGUUUUGUAACAGAGUAAAUCCAAACCAACCUUUUCCACUUUUCAUCCAUUGUGUAGAAAGAACUGACAUUUGGUUUAUGCCUCUGAAGAUGAUUUUACAUACACCCCAUAAAGCAACUGAACAAAUGGCAGAAGCACAACGUGUGAAAAGCAAAUUCCACAUUCGGAAAUUUACCACCAGAACUUGGACAGUGUAAAAAUAAAACUGUGCAAGCGAAUCUUAUAUCUUCAGUUAGAUCAGGCGAAUUCAGCUGUUGAAUUGCAUCAGUACUGAACUUCUUAAUGACUUCUGCAUGAAAAGUGGGAAUUUUGAUUUUCUGCAUUAACAAUUUCCACUCUGUUUUGUGAGGCGUCAUGAUAACUAUCUCCAACAACAUAUUCUAAUCUGAUCUCCCUAAUCUUUCAAAUCCUUUAUUGACUUUAGAGAUACAAACCUGGUGUUGUAAGCGUGAAAUUGUCAUCCCCGUGGGCUCCAGCAAACACCACCUCCGACGGUGCCAGACGUCCCUGCAGGCUCCGGGUGUUUGCAGUUAAACAAAACUUGAUGAAAAUCCUAGAAGCUCUUCACUGGGGAAAACCACAGAGGAACAUAUAAAGUAUUUAAAGUCGAGGUAGAGAACUUUUAUCGUGGGGAAACAAGGAGGAGAAGUAAUACCUAAAAAUAAACUUCUUCAAAUAAGAUUACCUCUGGGGCGGUAAUUGCUGUCUGUGCAUAGCGAUUCUUCUCGAGUAAAGGUCAUUCCAUUUAUAAGAGCUUGAAGAGUGGCCAUCGCUCAUUAGGGGAGUAUGACUUUCCCCCAUAACCUGGCAUUUUAGAUCAAACACAGUGAUCAGACCAGUUGUUUUCACCGAAUAAUGGGUCUGAAAUAUCACUGCUUGACCUCUCAGCAGCCGAAUCUUUGACUGAGACAUUUCCUCCCCAAGAGAAGAGCAGUCGACACAUUUUAAGAAGACUUUUUCCUCAAGAGAGACUCCCUCUUAUUAUGUCCUGGAGCAUGCCUGGUAGGUGCAAACACCUCUUGGGUAUCCACCGCUGUGCUUUUUCUACUUUGUAUGUUGAUCCAUGAAGGAAGGAGACAAGUGAGAUGCAUUGUGCAGUUUAGUAUCUUGUGCCCAGACGCCCCGGAGAGCAGUAUAAAAUAAUUAUUCCGGCACUUGCCAUUCACUCAGCUGAAAGUGUGUGCAAUUUUCUCAGCAUGCUCAAAAUCUGUAAACAAAAAUCAUUGUAUGAAACAUGAUUUGCCAAAGUAAUAACCUCCAAAGAAAAGUGGAUCUCUUUAAGUCCACUUUUUGUUUUCUUAGGAUGUCAAACCAAGUGAGUGUUUCUGCAGAUGUGCUGCAGCUCUAGCACCGUGGAAAUAGAGUGAAUUUGGAGAGCUUUUAUGCAGACAUAAAUUAAUGAGCACAGCUGAGCUUUUAGUAAGAAAGAAAACCUUCACUAACAUGUCCCCCAGCGCUGUGGGGAUACACCCGCUGUCAAUGCAAAUCACCACAGGAGCAGGCGGGAAAACAGAACCGAGUUUGAGAUGUAGCUGCUGUUGUGCUCAACAGGAGGAGCUGUUGACUUGACGAGCAUUUUAAGCGUCAUGUACUUAAGAUCUACAGAUACUUCAUGAUUUAUCUGCUCCGAGUGUCCUAACUGUACUCCUACAAACCUGUUAUCGUAUUUCAGACCACGUCUGCUGCUCACACAUCUAAGCUCCUCUGACCUACUCGCUCAGGGGAGGCCAUAAUCAUAAUGAAGCAGAUGAGGAGGCCUUCAGGAAGCAACAUGAGAGGGAAAAGUAAUUAAGGGUAUCCUGAGCAUCAUGAUAUCACCCAGAAGAACCUAGUUAUCUCCCAGUGUCCAAUUACACCUCUCAUAAACGUGAUCAGGGUGUGUAAUAAUGGAUUUAAGGACAAAUUCCUCCAAAAUUGAUAUUAAUACCCUUAAAAUUCAAGCCCGGAAUCCUCGGGGCUCAAAAUCAUCAGACACCCAAGGACAUGUUUGAACAUCCCCACAAACGCGGACAUCUUUCUGCAGCAGCAGCUUCACCAUGCGUGAGAAAAAUCACACAUCUGAAUGGCUUUUUUCGCUCGCACACACCUUGAACCGAAUUAAUGGGGCUCCUCGCUGAGUCGCUGCAAAGAGAAGACAACAGUGUAUGGAGAUGGCGUUCACCGGGGGACUGCUGCUGGAUUUAAUUAGUCUGUGUUUACCUCUUCGUGUGACGCCCGAGAACCUGAUGCACAAGCACAAGCACGCUCGCUCACACAGAGGCACGGCUGUGAAAGAGAUGAAUUGCAAGCGCCUCCGGUCAAUCAGUGUGUAGGAAUGGAAACUCUGUUGGGAGGAAACGCUAGAUAGAGAGCAGUGUCUGAAAGGAAAGCAUGCGCCGUGUUAGUGCUUUCUUUAUGUCAGGAAGAGCGGGAGGGAAAUCUAAUGGGAGCUGGAGAUCAGAGAUGCUCCACUGUGUGCAUUUUGAGUAGUGAUGCACAGCUUUGAGAGUACAGAUCUGGAGUUCUUCUUCUUUAAGUAACAUCUUCAUAUAAGACAUGUCCUUUAAGAGGAAAGACACAAGCCGCAUAUUUGCUCUUAAAGCAUUACUGUGACAAAAAAACACAUACCAGUCCUCAUUCUCUCUCUUAAUCAUGUUCGACAGGAGCCAAAAACCUUGGUGGGCUGGGGGGGAUACAUAUUUAUCAUGCAACCAACUCCACUCCCAUGACAGAUAUCUUACUUUUACCCGUGAAAUCCACUUUUCUGCUCGAACCAAUAAUGUUAAUAAUGAAUUACAAGGAAGAAAAGCCUUGUAGAAGCAUGUCGGCAGAACAUACUCAUUCUCCAUUAUUAAUUCAGGUACAAGGACUCGUAUGCUGACAAGUGCAUGAACGCUAAUUUUUCAAACACAGUGCCUGUAGGAGGCUGAUGAGAGCAAAUCAUGUGUAAUAAUAAACCUUUGUUUCUCAGAGCGAGGGGGAGGAAGCACGCCGCCAAAUAGCCCAGUGGAGGCGCAUUAAGGAUGCUUGACUGGGCUUCUGGGAGGAACCUUCAGUCCUGGCGGUGAGAGCUUUCUAUCUGGCGAAGACGGAG
This 7027-nucleotide long non-coding RNA is filed under the name Xyrichtys novacula (pearly razorfish). The record is from RNAcentral. Lineage: Eukaryota; Metazoa; Chordata; Actinopteri; Labriformes; Labridae.